This 549-nucleotide ribosomal RNA is filed under the name uncultured bacterium. Its description in RNAcentral is "bacterial SSU rRNA". It matches the Rfam family "Bacterial small subunit ribosomal RNA", at positions 356 to 896 of the family's 1533-position model. The record is from RNAcentral.
AGGGAAUCUUCGGCAAUGGACGGAAGUCUGACCGAGCAACGCCGCUUGAGUGAAGAAGGUUUUCGGAUCGUAAAGCUCUGUUGUAAGAGAAGAACGAGUGUGAGAGUGGAAAGUUCACACUGUGACGGUAUCUUACCAGAGGGGGACGGCUAACUACGUGCCAGCAGCCGCGGUAAUACGUAGGUCCCGAGCGUUGUCCGGAUUUAUUGGGCGUAAAGCGAGCGCAGGCGGUUAGAUAAGUCUGAAGUUAAAGGCUGUGGCUUAACCAUAGUACGCUUUGGAAACUGUUUAACUUGAGUGCAAGAGGGGAGAGUGGAAUUCCAUGUGUAGCGGUGAAAUGCGUAGAUAUAUGGAGGAACACCGGUGGCGAAAGCGGCUCUCUGGCUUGUAACUGACGCUGAGGCUCGAAAGCGUGGGGAGCAAACAGGAUUAGAUACCCUGGUAGUCCACGCCGUAAACGAUGAGUGCUAGGUGUUAGACCCUUUCCGGGGUUUAGUGCCGCAGCUAACGCAUUAAGCACUCCGCCUGGGGAGUACGACCGCAAGGUUG